RNAcentral lists this long non-coding RNA (902 nucleotides) under Sus scrofa (pig). RNAcentral describes it as "lncRNA (ENSSSCG00070029160.1)". The record is from RNAcentral. Lineage: Eukaryota; Metazoa; Chordata; Mammalia; Artiodactyla; Suidae.
UUGAAAGAAAACCAGCCAGUUAAAGCUUCGAUUGGAACCCUCAACUCUCCAUGACUGCAGAGUGAAAUAUAGCUCCGGGCAUAGAAAAUGUUCCUCCAGUGCUCCGAUAAAUAGCAUUCAGUUUUCAGCCCCAGGGAAUUCAAUGCAGCCCUAGUUACCCCUCACUGCCAUCACAGCCAUUGAUUCCUUGGGCAGUGGAAAUGAUUUAUGAAGGUGAAUAGCCAUUUCAAACUUUAAUUAAACACAUAGAGAACCAUCAUUUUUUAAAGGGUAUGAACCAAGAAAGAUGAGAGCUGAACUCCUGUAGAACACUAAUUACCUUUUCAACACUUUGUCUCAUCUCCUUGUUUUUCUUCCAGAUUAGUGAGAGACUGAGCCAAUCUACUAUCCCCACAGAAAUGUCCAAUUAUUUGGGCAGAGGGCAGUCAAGCCUAUGCUGAAUUGUAGACACUGCUGUGUUCCUGCACCUGUUUCAGUUAUCAGAGUCUCCUAAAAAGCUUCACAACCUACCACUGUCCACACAGGCUUUCUGGUUCCCAUGUUGCAAGGCUGAAAAUAGAGUCCGAGAGAGAAGAAGUGAGAAUGGGGCCUCUGAAUGGCAGAGAGACCACGGGAGAACAUCUCCUGGAGCCUAGAGGGAUGAAAGAAGUGUCCUGAGCUACCAGAUAUCCAGCGUCACAGCACCUUGCCUCCAUCAUUCACCACAUUGUUCUCUCUUCACACCAACUUUGUAGUAGUACAAAGUAUCGAUGAUGUGGCAAUUACUUGUCUAGGCAUUUGCUAUGUAUUUACUUAUUUAAUCUCAUAAUAACUGUGAGGUUAUUAAUAACUGUUAAGUAUUAUUUCCAUUUUGAAAUCUAGGGUAAUCAAGCAGAGAGAAUUUUUUUUUUAAAUUUUUUUUG